CUUGCACACUAAAGAUGGCGACCGGCGCACGGGUGAGUAACACGUAUCCAACCUGCCGAUAACUCGGGGAUAGCCUUUCGAAAGAAAGAUUAAUAUCCGAUAGUAUAUUAAAACCGCAUGGUUUUACUAUUAAAGAAUUUCGGUUAUCGAUGGGGAUGCGUUCCAUUAGUUUGUUGGCGGGGUAACGGCCCACCAAGACUACGAUGGAUAGGGGUUCUGAGAGGAAGGUCCCCCACAUUGGAACUGAGACACGGUCCAA
RNAcentral lists this ribosomal RNA (259 nucleotides) under uncultured bacterium. RNAcentral describes it as "partial 16S ribosomal RNA". It matches the Rfam family "Bacterial small subunit ribosomal RNA", at positions 74 to 334 of the family's 1533-position model. The record is from RNAcentral.